AGGGCUUGCCUGUGGAGAGGCUGGAGUCAGCCGUCAGCGCGGAACUCCUGGUCUUCCCACUGCCACCUCUGCAGCCCCCACCAGAGAUAUCAGAAAACAUCAGCUCCAGCCUGCAGCCCAGACACUUGAAGUCACCUUGGCUGCCCCUCCUCACACCCGUGCCCACGUCAGCAAAACCAGGGCCGGCUUGUUAACCGUGUCCAGAACCCACCCUUCCCACCCUGCCCAGGCCACCUCCCUCAGUGGCCCAGGGGGCUCCAAGUUGAAGAGCCCAAGACAGGUCAGAGAUGGGCUGGGCGGCCUCUGCCACUCACCUCCGGAGAGGGCAGGGAGCAGAGGCCUCAGUCAUGAGGUGGGGCUGUCCUCGGCGUGGGCCUCGAGACUGGGAGCCACUGCCCAUACCCAAGAGACCUCUGCGAGCACUGGGGUGCAGAGCCAGCUCUGAGAAACCAGGAGGCUGGGAUUUUGAAGAGGACGCCGGUAAACAGGCUCAGCUGUGGGCCAAGGAACGCGAAGGACACAGGGCAGAGCGCCCACAGGACGGACGACGACAAGCGACACGAGGCCCAGCGCUGCCCCCUCCCGCCUCCUGACAGCCCGGACCAGUCUCUGCAGUGCCAGGGCCACCACACAGAUGCCUCCUCCACACACUCUGGUCCGAGGGUUUCCGGGCCCUCUGCCCAGGCGCCGAGGCUGGAGAGCUCCUCCCGGGCUACAACUGGUCACUGGCGUGGUCUCUAUCCGCCUCGGGCUUGACGGUUUGGCCAGGAGAAGGGGCGUGGGGCGGGUGGGCCACAGGGGGCAGGCCGUGGGACAGGGACAUGGCGCUGGGGACGAUACCUUCCACAGCAGCUGGGAUGCCAGUGGGGGCCACGCCCACCACGCCCGGAGGGUACCUGCUGGGAGAGGGUCCAUCCGUGAGGCCCACCUGUAGGCGGCCUGGCCAGGCCCCACCUGCCCUCCUAGCAUCGGCAGCACCGAGGGGGCCUCUCCAGGAGGACCAGCAGUCAGGGCCCCGUGCCCAUGGCACUCCUGUGUCCACUGAGCCCUGAAGGCCACCCCAGCCCAGGCUCCUUCCAAGAGGCCCUGGUUCUCAUGGGCCUUUCAGCUGCAGAUGUCAGAGGCCGACCUGAGCACAGCCCUUUCCAGCUGCAGAUGUCAGAGGCCGACCUGAGCACAGCCCGUUCCAGCUGCAGAUGUGAAACCUGAACCUGGCAGCACGGAAGUCACAAGGGCCGACCCAACGCCCCCAGAAGUAGAGUCCUGUGUCCCCGGCUCCACGCACCUGCUUGACGGUGAAGUCGUUGAUGAGGUGGUGGUUGUGCUCGUUGAGGCCGCAGUGCAGGGUCACGCAGUCGCUGUGGAAGAGCAGGUCCUGCAGGGUGCUGACACGCUGCAGCCCCAGCGCCCGCUCCACGCCAUCCGACAAGUAAGGGUCGUAGAAGAGCACGUUGAAGCCGAAGGCCUUGGCCCGCAGCGCCACUGCCUGCCCCACGCGACCUGGUGGCGUCAAGACACAGUGUGAGACCCUUGCUCACCCGUGGCCGGGAGGCCGGCCCCGAAAGCCAGGGUCGGAGUGGCCUCUGUGCCUCAGUUUGACCAUCUGCCAAGGAUGACACCAGCUGUGGUCAAGCCAAGGUGCCCACGCACGCUCCACACGAGCGCUCCACGUCCGCUCCAACGCGCCCACUGCCAAGGCGGAGGAGAUGCACAGGGGUGGAAAGGGUACACUAGCCCCUCGGCCCACACCAGCUGCCAGCCACACCACUCCCCUGCAGCCUGUCCACAGGACGUGACAUGAACCACUCAGUGUCAAACGGACUGGUCAGUGGGUCUCCACCCACCCAACACAUGUCCUCCGUGCCCAGGCCCCUCCGCUGGCCUUUCGAUCCACCCAUCAAUGUUUCCGGCAUCUCAAUUCCAGCCACCACUACGUGGAGACGGCAAAGGGGGCAGGAGGGAAACUUCCAGACCAGGGAGGCCCCGCUGGGCUCAGGUCCUGACCCCUUCGAGUGGAGCGGCAGAGAAAGCCAUCCCAGGCAGACGUGCCUGCCCCCACCCCAGCAGUCCAAGGCUGGCACGGGUCCCAGCACAGGAGCCGUGGAGCUUGAGCCACCGUGUCUGGCUGGGGCCGGCUCCUCCUCGGGGAAGGGUCUGCAGAGUGCUCGUGCCCACUGUGAGCCAACAGCAUGGCUGCAAAGGACACAGGACCCCAAGCCCGCGAACGUGGUGUCUCCUGCAUUGCCUCAGAGGGAACCGCUACACAGGAAGGAAGCAGGUUGAGCGCCGGGGCGGGUGGGAAGUGGGCGCAGUUUCAAAGGCGGCAGCCAGGGCAGGCCUCCCUGAGAAGACCAAGCUUGCUGGAGACAUAAGGGGACAGGAAGGGAGCCAGAGAGCUGGAACAACACGUGCGAGGGGCCCGCGGCGGCCUGAGGGCCAAGGAGACCAGACCGCCAGGCACACAGGGUGGCCGGACGUGGCCCAAACGCCCAGGGGACCCCCAGUCACUCUGGGAAGAGGACUGGGGGAGGCUGGGAGGCCAGUCAGAAGAGCUGAGGACCGUCUAAACGCACUACAUCCUAGAAAGGGAGGCGCCUGUUCUACGAGAAGGAACAUGGUGGCUCCUUCCAUCCCCAGGGACGAGGCUGCUGCAGGAGGGAGGAGGGCUCGGCAGGCGGAGGUGGGAGCAGCAGUUCUGAGGGUUGCAGCCACGGCCGGAGUACCCGGGCAGCUCCCCAGGUGCAGAACAGCCCGUCUGUCAACGCCCCCUGCCAGGGAUCCCACCAAAUGGGGAGGAAGAGAACACAGGCAGACACAGAGAAAGGCGUCUCCCACAGCGCAGAAGGCGGACGACACGCUGUUUCCCACUGCGCACAACACAAAGCCCCGGAAGUCGGGCUGCCGGUGGCGAAAACCAGCUAAAGCCGCGGGCCGGCGCCGGCCACGCCUGACACGGGAGAGCAGCGGCUGUUCGGGGCGAGACCAUUCUUCACUUCUGUCUCUGCCAUUCUCUUCCACAUGAUGUCUGGCUUAGGAUAAGAAAUUAUGAUGAUGCAGGUGAAGAGACAGGAGGAUGUAGUUUCUAAUUAGAACAAAACACUGGAAGCGGACAGACGCACAGAUGACCGAGGCUGGAAUCAGCCAGCAAAACCUCUUAAUAACUACUAUAAACAUGCUCAGAGAUGACAACAAGUGUGGAUGUAAACAGCAGAAAAAUGGAGGCUUCCGGAAGAUGAAUGGUAACUCUAUAAAGAACCACAUAGAAAUUCCAGAACGAAAACAUCCCUCUGAAACGGAACUCCCUGGACAAAGCUAACUGCAAGAAAAGGAUCGGGAGCUUGAAGGGAGGGGCUCAAAGUCAGCAGAUGGCAUCCAAACAGAAGCAGAGAGAAAAGAAUUUAAAAAAUAAAUUUUAAAGAACAGGCCUUGGUGGCUGACGCCUGUAAUCCCAGCACUCUGGGAGGCUGAGGUGGGCGGAUCACAAGGUCAGGAGUUCGAGACCAGCCUGGCCAACAUGGUGAAACCCCGUCUCUACUAAAAAUACAAAAAUUAGCCGGACGUGGUGGCGGGCGCCUGUAGUCCAAGCUACUCGGGAGGCUGAGGCAGGAGAAUGGCGUGAACCUGGGAAGCAGAGGCUGCAGUGAGCCGAGAUCGCGCCACUGCACUCCAGACUGGGCGACAGAGCGAGACUACCUUCCACAAAAAAAAAAAAGGCAACACAUUUUCGGACAAAGAAAAGCAAAAGGAAUCGGUCACUGGUGAGCCACAUUUCUAAGACAGUCUUUAGGCUACAGGAACGUGACGCCCGAGGACAGCCAGAAUCGGGGGGCGUAAACAAGGCAGAAAGGGUGGAUGUGUCGGUUGAUAUUCAAAAGAAAAAUUACUG
This is a long non-coding RNA of Homo sapiens (human), 3886 nucleotides long. Ensembl annotates it as CTBP1 antisense RNA. Its record names the gene CTBP1-AS. The record is from Ensembl. Lineage: Eukaryota; Metazoa; Chordata; Mammalia; Primates; Hominidae.